GCCCUGGUAGCUCAGUGGUAGAGCGUUCGCUUGGUAAGCGAAAGGUCGCGAGUUCAAUAACCACUCUUUCCGAGAGCUUCCGCAUCUGCAAAGAGCGGUUGGCCAGAAAGGUAAUGAGGACCUCGCCCAGGGCU
Molecule: transfer RNA, 134 nt
Filed under: Candidatus Aenigmatarchaeota archaeon
Lineage: Archaea; Nanobdellati; Candidatus Aenigmatarchaeota
Description: tRNA-Thr
Rfam family: tRNA
About the family: Transfer RNA (tRNA) molecules are approximately 80 nucleotides in length. Their secondary structure includes four short double-helical elements and three loops (D, anti-codon, and T loops).
Source: RNAcentral